GGACAAACCUAAGUGGGGCGAGUUGAAGCAAAGUUUAGUUCAUACAACAAUUGUAGGAGGCGCUAGUAAAUCUCACAGACACAUCUUUAAAAUAUAUCAGAGGCGCUAGUGACUUCACAAUACAUGCCUACAGUGUGUCAGUGACACAACAAACACACCAUUAUAGCUUGACAUUUGGCGCGAAAAGCCAAGGAAAAAAUGGUGGUGUAAUUUAAAGUGUCCGAAGUAGUGCCAGGCUCUUAAAGGGAAAGAAGAAGAAUUAAAAAUACUGCAAAUAAAGAAGAUAAGUAUAUUUCCAAUAUUAAUAACCCAACAGAUCCAAUAGGCUCUCAUGCAUGCAAUUGUUAUCCUUCUUACAUUAUAAUUUUCCAAAGUACGGCUCAAAUAACAAACAUAUUACUUUUCUUCAACAUGUCUUAACAUAGGAUAAUUACUAACAAUAUUAUAAUUAUUACUUCUUUUCUGAAAUAGGAUAUGACUAUUAAAAAUUUGAUUUCUUUCUGUGCAGGUAAUGUGCAGACAAGAAACGCACGAGAAGAGGAAAUAUAUUUUCUUACCAUUCUAGCAACAACGUGAGAGGAUAACCAGGCUCAUCAGGCAUAAGAGGCUUUAGGAGAAUAAGGGAAAGAAUUUUACCUUUUCAUUCUCGAUUCCAACCACGUAAAGAGGACCGAGAUGACCAGGAUUCCAGCCACAUCGUCGGACAUAUACUUCAAUAUAUAUAAAGUAUAUUAUAUAUUCACAUAAGAAAAACGGAAAAUAAAUUUUGCCUAUAUAAAUAA
Ceratina calcarata is the source of this 782-nucleotide long non-coding RNA. RefSeq lists it as uncharacterized. Lineage: Eukaryota; Metazoa; Arthropoda; Insecta; Hymenoptera; Apidae. The transcript has 5 exons. The record is from RefSeq and is a predicted model, not a curated record.